UAACCUACCAAAGGCUAGCCCAUUCCUAUCU
Molecule: non-coding RNA, 31 nt
Filed under: Rattus norvegicus (Norway rat)
Lineage: Eukaryota; Metazoa; Chordata; Mammalia; Rodentia; Muridae
Source: RNAcentral